This 9677-nucleotide long non-coding RNA is filed under the name Eucalyptus grandis. RNAcentral describes it as "long non-coding RNA (EGRA_LNC002035)". Lineage: Eukaryota; Viridiplantae; Streptophyta; Magnoliopsida; Myrtales; Myrtaceae. The record is from RNAcentral.
ACAAAGGGAAGUGUGAAGUCAAGCCAUACUAACACACCAUUUUGCUGAAGUCAUAUACAGAUAUACAGAGGGGGAAAUAAGCCGCAGAAACAUGCCAGUGUAUAUAAGCAUAUAUUGUCACAAGUUAGAAAUAGCUUCGACUGCAUACCUAGUUUGUGCUAGACACAUGAACACAGUCAAGUGGAAUUUCCUAGCCUCUCAAGUGUAUAGAUGUCGUCAUCAAGUGUCUCUAGAGAGCAGGACAGUCAAUUUGUUGCCUUGCUAAGAAAGACACUGAAAUGCAGUGCUUGUAAUAAUAAACUGAAAUUCAAUAUCUCCUACUUUUAAUCCGUUCUGCCUCAUAUUAUAGCUAGCUCGUUUAGUUCUCGUCUUCUGUAAUUCUAUAUCUUGAAGAUCAAGUAUUUACUGGACAAAACCACAUCGCUUCCUGGUAUGGAACCUGAAAUGCUAGCAUUCGAGAAAGCAAGGUGCCAGCUCUUGGGGGCGGACAAACUUAAGCACUUCAAUUUUCACUUAUCUUUGCAAAAUUUUCGUUCAGAUAGCAUUCCUAGACAUGUCCUAAGUCCACCAAAUCAGAACGCUGUCCUAAAUCAAGAUGUAGCGUCCAUAUAUUCCAUUACCAUAACUUAUAUUAACGCUAACAAUGCUGUUUCACCAGCCACGAUGGAAGCACUGAGUCGAGAACACCGAAGCUGAGAUCUGUUAUGGUGAGCGAGGUUCAAGAAGCUAGGCGACAGUAUGAAAUUUGAUAGGCCACUGAAAGACAAAUGCAGUACAGUCAGAGAUGCUUGAGCCGAUAUAGUCCUCUGAUUCACUCAGAACUAGCCAUAGAGAGGUCCUCAUGACAUGGAGCAGAGAUACUUCAAAGAACCAAGGGCGACUAUCCACUUUACAUUUAAACCCUGGAAUUCCCACGAAAGAUCAAGAUACCACAAGCAAGCUCGACGAGUUUCCUAGAUUUUAAGCAAUUGCCCUGCUAUAUGCUCCAUAUCAUAUUCUCCAAGCAUCCAAGAAAUUCAGGAAUGACAUUGCCAUCGAAUGCAUUGAAGCUCAAGCCCAAAUAUCUCGGAAACCAGAGUCUCACCGGUGAAGGCCUGGUUUCCAAUGACCGUGCCUGUUCUAAGAAUCAUAGCCCGUGGGGUACGGGCAGUUAGUGAUAAUCAACUGUAAAAACUACUUCUGUGUAAUCCUUCCAGAGUCCAUUCGUCACUAGUCCGGAUAGUUCUUUCCACUACAUGACUGUGGGAGAGCUCUGGGAACUUCAAGGCCGUUGCCGAUGGCGAUCAACGAGAGCUUCUCUAUCCAAUUCCAAACAACUCAAGAAGCCGAUAUCGAAUUCCUCACCAUGAGGUCGCCGCGCGAGAUGAGGCGAAUAUGUGUCCAAGAAGUUGAUGAAGUGCAAGUCCAAGGAGUUUAUCCUGGUUUUGCAGAUCACCAAAUUUCGUACAUCACAAGAAACAACGGUGAUCAAAGAUUUCUCAUAUAUGUAUGUACCUCAAGAUAUUCCGAAUUAUCAAAGAAAUUGAUACUAGGAAAAUUACUAGAAAAAUCCUAAAAUUACUAUACUUAUGUCAAUUCAAUUUUAAACCUUUCAAAUGUGCUAAUUAAAUUCUAAAAUUUUUCAAAUUUUUCCAUUUGAGUCAUUCCAAUCAUUUUUGGCUAGAAUCGCUAACAUAAAUGCCCACAGUGCCAUGUAAAAUACAUUAAAUUUUUCUUAUAUUUUUUAAAAAAUUUGAUUUAAAAAAAUGUUUUUUUUUUCUCUUUUUGUCUUUUUUUUUUUUCUACCAAGUCCAUUAGUCCCUAGCCAAUGAAUGGGUGCCACAAACCCCUCGCCCGUGGAUGAUGAGGGCUUUGUGGCCCUUAGGCAAGGGUUGUGAAUCCCUCGCUUACAGAUGAUGUAGGUAGGUCGGCCGACCCUCCCUUUUGACAAGCAAUGGCCCUCGUUGGGCUUGGAAGAAAAGAAAUGAAAAGGAAGAAAAGAAAGAAAAAAAUCUAAAAAAUUUAGAAUAAUUAUAAAAAUUAUCUAUGUCAGCACUAGUCGUGCCACGUAAAAUAGGUGGCGUCUAAGUCAAUAAUUUUCAACUAAAGUCAAUCGGGUGGACUCAAUUAGCAAAACAUAAAUACCGCGUUUGACAGUUGGGAUAAAAUUUAAAGUAUAAUAAAGUUUAUUAUACCCUUUGUUUGUUUGUUUGGUUUUUUUUUUUGGUAAAGUUAUACCUUUUGUUUGUUGCUUGCUAAAGGAUAAAGUCAGAUAUAAAAAUGAUAUAAAUUAAAUAAAAUUAUCCCAUAAGAGAGGUGAGAUAAAAGUUGAUAAAAUUAAUAUCUAAUAUAAAUAUUUUUUUCUCAAAUAACAAACUUCUUAAAUUAACAAAAUUAAAUUACAUUUCAAUAUAAAUUAUAUUCGAAUUCUAAUAUAAAAAUUCAAAAUAACAAAAGAUAACAAUUUAGUUUUUUUUAGUUUAAUCUUAUUAUUAUUUAUAUCUUCAAUUUUAAUUCUAUUUAUAAUAUAAAUUCAAUAUAUAAUAUAUUUAUAUUUAGUAUAUAUUUUAAGCAUUUUAGUAAUUUAUUCAUAUUAAUGCGGUUUACAUUUUAAUAAAAUUUUAUUAGAUAAUAAUAAGGGGAAAAAGAAAUAAAAAAUGAAAUGAUUAAAACAGAGAGGAAAAAUAAAAUAAAAAUAAGCAUAUAAAAAUAAAGUAGGCAAGGAUGUCAUGAGGGAUUUUUACCAUCUCCCUUUAUGAAUAUUUUAGGUUCAUUCACAUCGAUAUGCCAUUUAUACCAAAUAAGUACAAAAUAUGAUAUGAAUAUAUUCAACUUAUUAUUGUGAUUCAUCAAAUAGUAAAUAGGACAUAACACAAUUCUUAGAUUUUAUAUUUUAUUAUAUCCAGUUCUAUCUUGAUAAGAAAUCCAUACAACCAACCAUAGUCAAAAGAUUUAUGACUCAAUCAGCAUAGAUACAAUAAGUUCAAAACUUUUUUAGCAAUUUCCCCAAUUGAUACCUAAUCCAAAAUUUGACUAUAUAGUAAUAAAGAUGGAUAUGUUGCUAGAUAGAAGAGAAGUUAGCCAAGUAUUACAAAAAUCUAAACGACAUGAUUCGAAAUAACAAAAAUCCUUAGAUAACUUUUUUUUUUCAAGCUAAUUAUAUUAAAUUAAUGCAAUGACAUGUCAAGAAAUUUAAGAACUCACAUUAAGACCCAUGAAGAAUUCAUGCUCCCACAAAAGAUUUGUACAACAAUUAAUUUCUAUUUAUUGCGUCAUCCAGAUAAUAGAAAAACCCACCAUUCAUUGUUAACUCAAACUGAAAAAAAAAAUCUAUCGAAUGUUAUGAAAUACAUGAAUAAAUAUUCAUAUAUUCAUUAUAUUUAUCUUAUCUAAUGUACUUAUUAUGGUACAUUUAUAUCGUACAUUUUAAGUAUAUCUUCAUUUACAAUGAACGUUCAUCUCCCUUAUCCAGUACAUUAAUAAUUCGAUACAUUGAUAUUAAUGAUUAGUACAUUUUUGUUCUCCUAUAAAUAAGAAUUUAGUUUUGAUGUACAAGAACAACAAUAGAACAACAGUGAGAUACUGGAAAUAAAACUCUAUCAUCUAGCUUUCUCUACUAUCUGUAGUGUUCACUUAUUUUCUCUUCUCAAUCUAUUCUCCAUUAUAUAUUCGCAACGUAAUAUUUUACAACAUCAAAAACAUUCUCUUAUUAUUGAGGAAAAAAAAAACAAUUGAAAUGGUCCAUCUUCUAAGAGGGUCUAAUUGAAUGCUUUUGCUUUUGCUUUGAACAGGUGCAAUGUCAAAUACCGAUUUUCUCGCCAAUGCCAAAGUAACCGUGGCAAAUGAUGCAACGAGACCCCUUCUAAAGAUAACCAGAAAUGGACCAACGAGAAAGAAGGAAAAAACCGAAUCCUCCUCUUCGAAAUCUUUAUGAAUUGCCAAGAUUCCCACUCCCUUCCCACUCUCUUCAAAAUACACCAACCGAACAACUCACCAAAACUCCCUCUUUCUGUCCCCCGGUCUCUCUCUCUCUAGCUCUCAUUGCAUGCUCAAUAGUAUAAAGCAACGGCAGUCGUUUGUAUGACCAAAUGCAAAAGCCCCCAGCUUUCCAAAACCAAACGCCAUCGACACGUCGAAGUACCCCCCCUCAUACGUCCCCUCUUUCCUGAUAUCAGGACCAGAACAUUGUCACUGUUAUCGGGCAAGAAAGUCCACCCCUUUAUUUGGUUUUGGAGAGGGAGGGUCACGGGUUUGAAAGGUUCAAACGUCGGAACAUGGUUGGACACAAGCUGGUGCUGGCAUUGAUUCUACUCUCGUGGGCAUCUUCAGUGUCGUGCUCUGUUUCUUACGACAGAAAAGCUAUCAUCAUCGAUGGCAAGAGGAGGAUCCUCAUCUCGGGCUCCAUUCACUAUCCCAGGAGCACGCCUGAGGUAGCGACGAUCCCAAUGCAGCUCACGACAUGUCUCUUUCUAUACCUUUUUCUUUUUUCUCGAAAAGGAAGCGUAUUUUAUUUGGUCUCUGGGCUUUCGCGUGGUUGCAGAUGUGGCCUGAUCUCAUAAGGAAGGCCAAAGAGGGGGGGUUGGAUGUGAUCCAAACCUAUGUUUUCUGGAACGGACAUGAACCUUCUCCCGGAAACGUAAUGCGACUUAUGAUCUUCUUUGGAUAACAUAACCAUUUUCAUUCACUGAUUACAUGUUUUCCCUUUUUCUUUUAAAAAUUAAUGAAUUUGAAAAAUUAAUGAAUUUUCCUGUUCUCUCCUUUUCUUAUUUCCCACCCUUUCUGCAGUACUACUUUGAGGACCGGUAUGAUCUGGUUCGGUUCAUCAAGCUGGUGCAACAAGCUGGUCUUUACGUUCAUCUCCGGAUUGGGCCUUACGUCUGCGCCGAGUGGAAUUUUGGGUACCUAUUUUCUAGCAUAAAAAUGAAAAGGAGAAGUUUUUUCUUUUCAAUUUAUUUUGCUAUGUAUUUUGAAACUCAUGUGCUCUGUUUUUUGUGCUGGUUCGUGAUGCAGAGGAUUCCCUGUUUGGCUGAAAUUUGUCCCGGGGAUCGCUUUCAGAACAAACAAUAAGCCAUUCCAGGUUGUCCAUUUUUCUGAACAAAUUUCCCUUAUCAAUCUUUUUCAUAUUUCUAAACCUUUGACUAACGAAACAUUUAUCAAUCAUUUAAUGAAGGAUGCAAUGCAAAGGUUCACGCAGAAGAUUGUCAACAUGAUGAAGGCAGAGAGGUUGUUUCAGUCCCAGGGAGGUCCAAUAAUAUUAUCUCAGGUAUGAAAACGUUCCACCAUUUCUACAACCCCUUCUAGAAGAUGGACCAUUUCAAUUGGUGUUUUUUUCCUCAACAAUAAAGAGAAGGUUUUUGACAAUAAAGGACAUUAUUUUCUAUACCUGCUUGGAAUUUUUAAUGAUAUUUUUGUUUAGCUGAUAAGCUUGGAAUUUUGUGUCUGUUGGCAGAUAGAGAAUGAAUUUGGACUAGUUGAACGGGGAAUUGGAGCACCAGGCAAGGCAUACACAAAAUGGGCUGCAAGUAUGGCUGUGGGACUUGGCACUGGUGUUCCAUGGGUUAUGUGCAAGCAAGAUGAUGCUCCUGAUCCUGUGGUUUGUACUUUUCUGGAUCUUAUUAGUUAAACUUAUAUUUAUAUAAGAUAUAUGUACAUAUCCAUAUAAGUUGGUUACGAUGUCAUCUGUUUUGUGAUCACUGAGGGCCUCCGAGGCUGGUGGGGUCUCAUCAACAGUUUUUUUUUCUAAACUUUAGGUGGCCUAUAUGGUCGUAAACAGGUCCCCCUUUUUCCAUAUGCCAUGUGCUUUUAAUUUUUCCUCUUCCUUAUUCUUUCUUGCUCUUCAUAGUUUCAUAAUGAGUCAGGAAAGUCUCCCCAUAGGUACUUAAUUAUUGUGUCCCGAAACGAUGUAUAUGCCUCGAAUCUGGUUUGGCUUGACUUCGCUUGUUGACUUCGUUUAAAUGGCAUGGCCUGACAACAAUGUUCAAACUUAAGCAGGGUGGGUUUUUCCGCAGCAUGGUUGUCAUUCUUGACUUAUUUCGUAAAAUUUAUCUAAGAUGGGAGUAAGACAGAUUCUAGAAAAUAAUUUUUCCUGUCCUUGACUAAUGUUGAUUCGUUAUGCGACAGAUUAACACGUGGAAUGACUUCUACUUCAAAGAUUUCAAACCAAACUCGAAUAAUAAACCCAAGAUGUGGACUGAAAACUGGACCGGCUGGUAUGUGAAGAAGCGCAUAUCUGAACAAGCUGAAAUUUUCAACUUCCCCCCUCCCCUCUGUAUCUUUCUCAGUCAUGUAGAUUCAAAGCUGAUUAUUAUGAUGAUUUCUAGGUACACUGAGUUUGGGGGAGCAGUGCCUUAUAGGCCAGCAGAGGAUUUGGCGUUCUCGGUCACGAGUUUCAUUCAGAACAGCGGCUCAUUCAUCAAUUACUAUAUGGUAAUCUUGACUUCCGUAGCAUCUGUGGCUCUGUAUCAAUCACUUGAUUUUGCCUUUCCAUUAUGCUGCGAAUUAUAAUCAUUAGUUAACCUUCUUUUUGUCUCCUUUUAAAUGAUUGCAUACUUGCUUGUUCUUUAUAUGGGUCUUGUUUGUUGUCUUUAGUAUCAUGGAGGAACCAACUUUGGCAGGACAGCUGGUGGUCCCUUCAUUGCCACCAGCUAUGACUACGACGCUCCUCUUGAUGAAUACGGUAUGUGACUUGGAAUAGACUGUUAGUAUCCUGGUGUGGGCAAGGCUAACUUUGCUGAUGUGCCUCAAUUUGCUUCACUUUGAGCAUUCAACGGAUCUAACUACUUUAAGACUGGAGUAAUUGGUAACACCGUCAGAAGUUUAACCGAGUGAAGGCAAAUCUACAUCUUGUUGCUUAAACAUUAAACCUUUUAAGACUAAGUCUAGAAGUAAUUCAUGACAUCCUAUCAUGGCGAUUACUAAGUCAUCUUCCUGACAUCAGAAUUCACGUAAAUGUCACAGGUUUACUGAGGGAACCGAAAUGGAGUCACUUGAGAGAUUUGCACAAAGCCAUUAAGCAAAGUGAAUGGGCUCUGGUUUCUGCUGAUCCAGCAGUGCAAUCACUUGGAAGUAAUCAAGAGGUUUAAUUCUCUAGCCCCCUUAAAACGAACAUGCAUAAAAACACUCUCACAGCCUUGUGGGUUGUUAAUUAAGCUUUUACCUGUCAAAUUCUAUUUUUCUUAGGCUCACGUGUUCAAAGCUGGAAGCAGAUGCGCGGCCUUCCUGGCAAACUACGACACGAAGUAUUCUGUCAGAGUCAAUUUUGGAAACGGGCAAUAUGACUUGCUGCCUUGGUCCAUCAGCAUUCUUCCAGACUGCAAAACUGCCGUUUACAACACUGCAAGGGUAAGGCAAAGACCAUUCAGUUCCACGACAUUUUGCAUCAACUCUUUCCAAUUUAACAUGUUCCGUUACUUUCCCUUAAACAAUUCUUUUUAAGAGAUUAAGUUCAAGGCUGACACAAUAUUAUCAAUUUUCAAACAGGUCAAUGCAUCGAGUUCUCAGAAUAAGAUGGUGCCAGUAGGUGGAUUCUCUUGGCAGUCGUACGUAGAAGAAACUGUCUCUGCCUUUGGCAGCGACACGUUUACAAAGGAUGGGCUGUUGGAGCAAAUUAGUCUCACUAGAGAUGCUUCAGACUAUUUGUGGUACACGACAGAGUGAGUGCUGCUUGCGACUUGCAUCUCAUAAGCAUUGCGAAAACUUCAAUAUAGUGGACUGUCAUGUGCUUACAAUUUUACUUUCCUGAUCAUGUUGAUUGUUCAGCAUCACGAUAAGUCCUAACGAAGCAUUUCUGAGAAGCGGCCAAUCUCCUGUGCUCACCAUAUUGUCUGCAGGACAUGCGAUGCAUGUUUUCAUCAAUGAUGAACUCACAGGUAAAUCAAUUUCCGCCUAGAUCCCAAAAUGCAAUAUCCUUUCAGUACCUGAAAUCUCAAUAUAUAACAUAUGUUACUUGGGUAAUUGUCUGUCUGUAAUACAGGGUCCGUAUAUGGAUCAUUAGAGAAUCCAAAAUUAUCAUAUGGUAAUAAUGUGAAGCUGAGGGCUGGCAUAAACAAACUGUCGAUAUUGAGUGUAGCUGUCGGGCUUCCGGUCAGUAUUUUGCCAGUCAACAUGAUAUUGUUAAGCUAUAUGCAUGUGAGGAUCUUAACAUUAGUACAUUUUCCACUUCUGUUUCCAACAUUCAGAAUGUUGGCCUGCAUUUUGAGACAUGGAAUACCGGGGUUCUUGGGCCAGUCACAUUGAAGGGUCUCGAUUCUGGGACGUGGGACAUGUCGAAAUGGAAAUGGUGUUACAAGGUAUCUGUACUCGGUCUGCUGCUGCUUUGUUCUUCUUUUGCCUUUCAACAAAAAGUUCAGAUACAAAAGAUACCGCACCAAUGUGGAUUCAUUGUUGUUAGAUGAAAAUCAAAUAAACUGAUAUCUCAGAGCUUUUUUUUUUUAAAAAAAGGAAUUAAAAUAAAAGUAUGUUUGUGCUCAAAUUUCUCGAUGGUUGAGUAGUCCUGGUUAUCAAUGGUUUGCGUGGAUAAACUAAUGUUCAGUUAACUAGUUGUAAUAAUGUGUGGAUUUAUGUUGGUUUAAGACAUGACUCAUACUAUGCCAUACAAGAUAGAGAAUAAUCUGUUACACCAUCUUCAAAAUUCAAAACCUAAAUAUUUGCUCUUCCGGAACAGGUCGGUCUCAAGGGCGAAAAUCUGAGCAUCAACACCCUAAGCGGUAGUUCCUCAGUUGAAUGGCUUGAAGAUUCAAUGUUGGCCCAAAGACAGCCCCUGACCUGGUACAAGGUGAAGAUCCCACCCCGAAAACUUCACUUGAUAAUAACUGCUUGUCUGGUUUUCCUUUGAAAAUCAAAUUAAGCUUUGUUUGCAGGCUACUUUCAAUGCUCCCCCAGGACGUAGUCCAUUAGUCUUGGACAUGAACAGCAUGGGAAAGGGUGAGAUAUGGAUAAAUGGUCAGAGCAUCGGACGCCACUGGCCUGCUUACACAGCUCGUGGCAGUUGUGGCGGCUGCAGUUAUGCUGGAACUUUCAAUGAGAAUAAGUGCCGAAGUGGUUGUGGAGAGGCUUCUCAAAGAUGGUGAGAAAAGUAGAACUGCACUUUUUCUUUAUUAAUUUAUAUUUUGAUUUGAACACCUAUUAAUAAGCUUUUAAUUUUCAGGUACCACGUUCCAAGAUCGUGGUUGAAUCCUACAGGCAAUCUAUUGGUCAUUUUUGAAGAAUGGGGUGGCAACCCGACUCAAAUUACUUUGGUCCAAGCAACAAGGACUUUGUAGUAGCAGAACUUCUAGAUCAAUGCGGUUUAUAGCUGAAAUUAAGCAAUUUCUGUAGUUUGCAGAAUAAGUGAUAUACAAGAGCAUAGCAUUCGUCUUCUUUUUUCAGUCUUUGAAAGCUUGUGCAAGUAAAGGAUGCCAUUACAACUACCCAGACUUCGACAAAGGGAAGCGUGUAAGUCAAGCAUGCCAACACACCAAUUUGCUGAAGUCAUACAGAUAUACAGAGGGGGGAAUAAGCUGCAGAAACAUGCCAGUGCAUAUAAGCAUAUUGUCACUAGUUAGAAAUAGCUUCGACUGCAUACCUAGUUUGUGCUAGACAUAUGAACACAGUCAAGUGGAAUUUCCUGGCCUUUCAAGUGUAUAGAUGUCGUGAUCGAGUGUCUCUAGAGUGCAGGACAGUCAAUUUGUUGCCUUGCUAAGAAAGACACUGAAAUGCAG